CGGAUCGGAGUCUGCAACCCGACUCCGUGAAGCUGGAUUCGCUAGUAAUCGCGCAUCAGCCAUGGCGCGGUGAAUACGUUCCCGGGUCUUGUACACACCGCCCGUCACACCAUGGGAGUCGGAAAUGCCCGAAGUCAGUGACCCAACCGUAAGGAGGGAGCUGCCGAAGGUGGAGCCGGUAACUGGGGUGAAGUCGUAACAAGGUAAC
This 208-nucleotide ribosomal RNA is filed under the name uncultured bacterium. Its description in RNAcentral is "partial 16S ribosomal RNA". It matches the Rfam family "Bacterial small subunit ribosomal RNA", at positions 1294 to 1500 of the family's 1533-position model. The record is from RNAcentral.